UCAAAAAAACAUAGAACCAGUGAAGAGAAGGGUGAAGCGGGACAGAUACAACAAUAAAACAUUGUUGUGUUGUUCCGUAGCAAUGCACAGGCAGUCAGCUAGUUGACUCAAAAAAGAAAAACAAUCCUCCACAGUCCACACCACGGUCGUUCGGCGGCGCUGCUCCACUCCACUCCCCCCAAAAUCCUCCACCCAAACCCCAAUCCGGCGACGCGACGGCGGCGGCCCAAUCCCCGCUCACGAUGAGCCCCCCACCGCCGCAGCGCGGCCGCCACUCGCCGCCGGCGCUGGACGACGACGCCAUGAGCGAGAUCUUCCUGCGCAUCCCGCCGGACGACCCCAAGAGCCUCGUCCGCGCCGCCGCCGUCUGCGCGACCUGGCGCCGCAUCCUCUCCGACGCCGCCUUCGCCCGCGGCUACCGCGCCUUCCACGGGGCGCCGCCCAUGCUGGGCUUCCUCCACAACGAGAGCCACGAGAGGUCGUGGGGCAGGGGGCGGCGCAGGCGCCACGAGGAGUACCUGGUCUCCAACUUCGUCUCCACCGCGUCCUUCCGCCCGCCGGCGUGCCACGAGCGCCGCCACUGGCCCGCCAUCGACUCCCGCCACGGCCUCGUCCUCUUCCACACGCCCAAGAGGUGCGAGGACUUUGUCAUCUGCGACCUCGUCACCUACGACCGGUGGAGGAUCAAGGCCGACCCCGCCUGCCGUCGCAUCAUCUGGAAUGGCCGGUUUGAUGAGGACUGGGGCGACUACGAGGAUGAGGACGACGACGUCACCUGGAACGCCGCGGUGCUCUGUGCCAAGGACGGCUGCGAGCACCUCUACUGCCACGGCGGGCCUUUCCUCGUGGCCCUCGUGGGCUCCGACAGGGGACGGCAGAUAACAUUUGCCACCGUCUACUCAUCGGCGACUCGUAAGUGGAGCGGCAUGAUCUCCGUCAAGGAAUGGAAUGUCGUCGAGAUGACCGGGCACAAUGCAGUUGUGGGAAACAAGGCCUAUUUCCCCUGUGAGCAGAGCGACAGUGUCGUGGAGUAUGACAUGGGUGAGCAAAAACUGUCGGUGAUAGGUGCGCCGUUCGGCAGACUGGUGGGAGCGGAGGGCGGCCUGCUCCUGUUCGCAACUGUGCUGAAGCCUAGGCUCCACCUCCACAUAUGGUCAAUGGAGGUCCGUCCUGAUAGAACUACGGCUUUGGCGCGACGCAGGAUCAUUGAGCUCGCACCAAAGCUCUCUGGUUAUGCCUUCUUGGACGUGUCGGUGGUUGGCUUUGCAGAAGGUGUUGGUGUCAUCUUCCUGAGCACAAAGGCUGGGUUGUACACAGUUGAGCUCAGUUCGAGCCGAAUCAAGAACAUGGACAGAGAGCGAAGCCUCGGAAAAAUCAUGCCAUACAUGUGCUUCUACACUAGAGAAUGGGGGCGGUUGCCGACCUCUGACUGAACUUCUCGCACGGUUGUUGGCGCUGCAGCAAUGUAAUCAAAUGACGUCAAGAUGAUCAGUCCGUUUACUUUUGCUGCCUGGGAAGAAUUUGAAGUGAACUUCGGUGUCUUCUGUUGCUGGUUGUGUUGGACAGUUUGGUUAGAAUGGAUGCACUUUUGGCCUAUGUGUGCUUGUGCCAAAACUUGAGUUUGUUCGUCCGAGCUACGUUGUGUCUGUAGCCCCAGCAGGGAUUGCUUCACCUAAUGAAUGUACCUAAAUUUUCAGAAGACGAAGAUAUCUAUGUGGUGAUAAGCUGGGCUGAGUCGAUCUUUGGAAGGGCAUUCUAUAUUUCUGUGUUGUGCAGUGCUCGAAGACAAGCCCAUGUCGUUUGCGGGGGUGGUUUCAUAAAUUGUAUCAAGACCGAGAUGCUAGAAUGACUAGUUGUUCUGUAAAACUAGCCAUUAAACUUGAGUAUUGGUGCAGCUACUGCACAACCUCUUUUGAUGACAUUUUGACGUCGCACAAUAGGGGC
Triticum aestivum (bread wheat) is the source of this 1944-nucleotide RNA transcript. RefSeq lists it as uncharacterized. Lineage: Eukaryota; Viridiplantae; Streptophyta; Magnoliopsida; Poales; Poaceae. The transcript has 3 exons. The record is from RefSeq and is a predicted model, not a curated record.